UCAAACUUGGUCAUUUAGAGGAAGUAAAAGUCGUAACAAGGUUUCCGUAGGUGAACCUGCGGAAGGAUCAUUACAGUUGCUUCGGCUUUGCUGAUAGCAUCCGUGUCUUUUGAGUACCUUUGUUUCCUCGGUGGGCUUGCCCACCAACGGGGACCCUUUAAACUCUUUGCAAGCACAGUAAUAGUCUGAUAACAAACUUAAUAAAUUAAAACUUUCAACAAUGGAUCUCUUGGUUCUGGCAUCGAUGAAGAACGCAGC
RNAcentral lists this unclassified non-coding RNA (258 nucleotides) under uncultured fungus. RNAcentral describes it as "partial contains small subunit ribosomal RNA, internal transcribed spacer 1, and 5.8S ribosomal RNA". The stretch from base 1 to 73 matches the Rfam family "Eukaryotic small subunit ribosomal RNA", at positions 1759 to 1831 of the family's 1831-position model. The record is from RNAcentral. Lineage: Eukaryota; Fungi.